CCGAUUUACGCGGAACUCGCUUGCGUUAGUCGAGGCCAGGGGAUGACGUAACGCUUUGGCGAGGAAGUAAAAUUUACAAAAUUUAAGAUCAUGCCAGAAACUUGCGAACGGUUUCAACGAAAUGGCAUCAACAACCGCUUCGAUCGCCGCAGAGAAUAAAUUCAGAGAACGAAAAUUAUACCGUCGGCUUGUUCAAUUUUGUGAAAUUGAAGUUUUGACUCGUUUCGUGCAAAAACAAUUAUUUUUACCACGACUGAAACACGUGGGAAAUUUGUUUCGCCUCCGAUCAAUACCAGCCAAUUACGGCGAAAGGAAAUUUGCUUGGCCUCUCGCUCCAAAAACUUGAUCCACAAAUGAUUCCGCGGUUAACUGAAAGCAAUUUGCUUGUACCUACAUAGAUUGUACGACCGUAGAAGACUCCUUCACCAGAGCGAAACCAGAGAAAAAGAUAUGCCGGUAAUGAGCACUUUCUUUCCACCCAGUGUUCGACAUUCGUGGAUGCAGAAAGGUAAAUUCGCUUAGGUAAAAAGGUAAAAUGACACGGAAUUAAGGGAAAAUUAUGCGGUUUGCGAGCAAAUACUCGAAGAAUGAAAAUGCUCGAUAACUUAAUAAUACUAAAGACAAAUAAAAAGAAAAGAAGACAAAAAGUAUAAAGGUAGAAAAUUGUAGGAACAUAGAGAUUGAGCGUCGAAGGCGAUUCAUCGAAAAGGAGAGACACGAGUUCCUAUUCGUUGCAUGUCGAACGCGUGCGAGCGGAAACACGCUGGUCUGUUCAUUUGCUUCUACAAACAGCAGCUGCGAGUAGAAUCGCGGCCGCAUAUGCACGUAUUUGAAUAAUUGAGCAACAGCCUUACGCAAAUCAGUCGAACGUAAAUGUGUUCUAACUAGUACAGGAAUGAGAAACAUCGAUACCAGGGAUUUCCGAUUAUCUAAACUAGACUCUACACCGAUAGAAAGACAGACUAACGGGCAAAGAAUAUUUUUUAUUCUUAUUAUUAGAAUGCUAUUUUUUUUUUUUUUU
This 1021-nucleotide unclassified non-coding RNA is filed under the name Bombus terrestris (buff-tailed bumblebee). RNAcentral's name for it is "misc RNA ENSBTSG00005023631.1". Lineage: Eukaryota; Metazoa; Arthropoda; Insecta; Hymenoptera; Apidae. The record is from RNAcentral.